UAUUAGUCAAUGCUCGUAAGAGUGAACUAGCUAACUGAAAUCAUCUUUGUGUCAAAGAUGAUAAUAUAAGGGAAAAUAAUGAUAUUACCUUAUACUAUAGUGUCGUCCAAAUACUCGUGCCAGAAGACUCGGUAAGGCGAGAGACGCAAACGUUAGUCGUCUUAAUCAGGCGUAAAGGGUUUGUAGGCUGCUUUAAGAAUCUUAUAUAUGAUCAAUUAAAGCUAGAAUCAAAAGGAGGUUAACAUUAAUGCUUUAGGGAGAGUUGGUAUUUGUAGAUCUAAAGUAGAAAACUAUGGGCGAAGGCUUUUUUCCAAUAAUGAUUGACGCUGAGAAACUAAGGUGAGGGCAGAAAAAAGGAUUAGAGACCCUUGUAUUCCUCACUGUCAACAAUGAAUGGAAGUCAUUACAAUAGAAGUAAAGGCGAUGUUAACACGAAAAACCAUUCCGCCUUGUGAGUACGAUUGCAAAAUUGAAAACAAAAAAAUUAGUCGGUUUCGGAGCAAACGAAGUGAAGCAUGUUAUUU
RNAcentral lists this ribosomal RNA (524 nucleotides) under Echinoporia hydnophora. RNAcentral describes it as "partial small subunit ribosomal RNA". It matches the Rfam family "Bacterial small subunit ribosomal RNA", at positions 362 to 947 of the family's 1533-position model. The record is from RNAcentral. Lineage: Eukaryota; Fungi; Basidiomycota; Agaricomycetes; Hymenochaetales.